UUUGACCCGAUUGGCGAUUUGGGCAUACCCAUCACCGCGAGAAUCGGGAGCCGUGGGAGUACGGGCCACCGUCGUCGCCUCGCCUCCAUUUGUUGCUCUGGGCAGUCAGUUGGUCGUCGCGGAAGCUUGGGUAUGCGUCAUUGGAGCGUCGGGGCACUACAGCCACGACAAUUGCUUGCCAGAGUCUUUGCUUUGACCUCGAUCCGCUGUGCGUCGCGGGUAGCUUCGUUCGGUGUCCAUCUCCGGUGAGUAAACCCUAUGUCAUGUUCACUUGUUCCUUGUGAUUGCGUAGCACCCAGUAGACUCGAGUUUAGUGCGCUGAGUCCGGGAGUCCGGCGAUGGCGCGCCGCCGCAGCCUCACUGUUGGCUGCCGGGGUUCAACCGGGAGGAGGAAGACGUGGCCUGACCGUCGAUCCCCAGUCGAACGGUCUCGAUUAGAUAGGAAUACCCCUUCUGGAUUGUGACAUGCGGACCGUUGGGAUUGAAUCCGAGGGUCGGGCACAGAUCGCACCUCAUAAAAUACUAACCGUAGAUUUCAGGCUCUACAUCAUGUACCAGUUCAGGGAAGCCUAGAUCUAAUCUGAGCCAAUAGCAUUUAAUAGGACUACCAAGACUUGAUCGUACCCUUCCGACCAACCCGAUUUGCAUAAGAGCCCCUCUGGUAUCCUAAAAACAACUCGUGUCCACACUCUGCAUAAAUUAAUAACAGACAAACCCUAGAAUAUUGUAAACUAGCCCCUGAACUCACUAAUAUUCAUGCGCACAGUACAGAGAGUUAGAAAAAUCAGAGAAAUUAAUAUAGAAAAUGAUUUUUAUUGUAAAAAUAUUUCCAUAAUCUUGUUUAAUUCCUAGAAAAUUCAUUUUAACUCCUUUUUAAUCCAUUCCAGUUGCAAUAAUUUUGUUUUAAUAUUGUCUCAGUUAAUAACAUUGUUUUAUCAUGAAACAUAGAUUAAAAUUUAUCACUUAGUCUAUUCUGUACCAAACACAUAAAACCUUUGGAAAAUCAUAACUUGUUAUCCGUAACUUCGAAUUUAGUUAUUCUCGAACCUAUGAUCUCGUUGCAAUGCGUAGAUUAUUAUUAUGCAUUUUGUUCUCAUGUUUGGCGUGAUGUUAAUUUCUUCUAUACCAUGUCUGUUUGUAUUGCUUCGAGUAGACGAACCAGUGACCGAGGACAUAGGUGUUCAGCAGGUGGAAAUUGCUGAGCAGGAGCUCGUUGAAGGCAAGUUGUGGCCUUGAUCACUUUUAUUUACCAAAUAAUGUUCUCUAUAAUCAUUUUGGCAUGCAUAGGCUUAAUUUUGAUGGGACCCAAUAGGUCACCCUAGUUUGGUCAUCUUUACACCUUUUACCCAUGAACUUUUGGGUAGCCUUUGCUAUUGCUAUAUGUGGUUUUGGGUGUUGAGAUAACUAUUACACAUGGUUAUUCUUUAUUAUUAUUGUUUUAUUAUGUUAAUGAUAAGGCUAUUAUGUUAAUUAGAACAUGGAGCUUAACUUAAGAAACACAUGCCACCACAAGGGUGGAAUGGGACGCCCUUGACUAACUAAUUAGGAAAGCCAGUGGAGGUCUACCUUACCCGAAAGGGGCAAGAGCAGUAGGGGAGUGGUCGGUGUAGGGAGGUUCUCGGGUUGAUUUUGCUGCGAUGGCGGUCAGACGGGGGAUCCCUGCAUUGCGCUCCCUAGAAAUUGUAGCGGGUUUUCUGAAGCUAGUGGAACUUUGUAAAGGCCUCGUAGUGUUACCCUGCUUCGUCUCCUCGGUAGAGAUGAAUGCGACUUCUAGACCCCUUGGCAACCGGGUGACAUGACUUGUGGGUAAAGGGUACAACCUCUGCAGAGUGUAAAACUGGUAUACUAACCGUGCUCGUGGUCAUGAGCAGCUCAGGACUCUCGCAUUAUUAAUUUAUGGAAUUAAAUUUAAUUUGUCAUAUGCAUCGCAUUUUGUGGUUUAUUAUUAAUUUUGAUCUAUUAUUACUCUAGUUUGGUAUCUACUUAUUAAAAGUAUUGCUCAGCUUUAAUCAUUAUUUGUUGAUCAGCCUUACACUUCACAUGAACUCCUAUCUUUGGUGAGUUCAUGCACAUUAUUCACCAUAACUUGUUGAACUAUGAUAUUUUGUGAGCUCACUGUUGCGAUAUAUAAACCCCACACAGGAGAAGAACAGGUGUCCAGGAGGAGCCUUACAACGAGGAGUACGAGCUUAUCUAGGUGGCGUCUCCCAGUCAGCUUUAUGGUGCCAAGGAAUAAUACUUAGUUCGCUUUAUUGUUCUUAUUUAUUUUUGUAAGACUUCCGAUAUAUAAUAAUAAUAUUAGUGACGUUUAUCUCUAUACACUUUGUCAUUAUAUGUGGUAUUCUUUUUUAGCGCACAUAUGAGAUGUACCCGGGUUUACCC
Molecule: long non-coding RNA, 2382 nt
Filed under: Zea mays
Lineage: Eukaryota; Viridiplantae; Streptophyta; Magnoliopsida; Poales; Poaceae
Description: long non-coding RNA (ZMAY_LNC005775)
Source: RNAcentral